RNAcentral lists this ribosomal RNA (465 nucleotides) under uncultured bacterium. RNAcentral describes it as "partial 16S ribosomal RNA". It matches the Rfam family "Bacterial small subunit ribosomal RNA", at positions 28 to 507 of the family's 1533-position model. The record is from RNAcentral.
GAUGAACGCUGGCGGCGUGCUUAACACAUGCAAGUCGAACGGAAAGGCUCCUGCUUGCAGGGGUACUCGAGUGGCGAACGGGUGAGUAACACGUGGGUGAUCUGCCCUGCACUUCGGGAUAAGCCUGGGAAACUGGGUCUAAUACCGGAUAGGACCACAUUUUGGAUGGUGUGGUGGAAAGUUUUUCGGUGUGGGAUGAGCUCGCGGCCUAUCAGCUUGUUGGUGGGGUAAUGGCCUACCAAGGCGUCGACGGGUAGCCGGCCUGAGAGGGUGUACGGCCACAUUGGGACUGAGAUACGGCCCAGACUCCUACGGGAGGCAGCGGUGGGGAAGAUUGCACAAUGGGCGCAAGCCUGAUGCAGCGACGCCGCGUGGGGGAUGACGGCCUUCGGGUUGUAAACUCCUUUCGCUAGGGACGAAGCGCAAGUGACGGUACCUGGAGAAGAAGCACCGGCUAACUACGUG